Molecule: ribosomal RNA, 418 nt
Filed under: uncultured bacterium
Lineage: Bacteria
Description: bacterial SSU rRNA
Rfam family: Bacterial small subunit ribosomal RNA
Source: RNAcentral
GGAAUAUUGGUCAAUGGGCGCAAGCCUGAACCAGCCAUGCCGCGUGCAGGAAGACGGUCCUAUGGAUUGUAAACUGCUUUUAUACAGGAAGAAACCUCCCUACGUGUAGGGACUUGACGGUACUGUAGGAAUAAGGAUCGGCUAACUCCGUGCCAGCAGCCGCGGUAAUACGGAGGAUCCAAGCGUUAUCCGGAAUCAUUGGGUUUAAAGGGGCCGUAGGCGGUUUAGUAAGUCAGUGGUGAAAGCCCAUCGAUCAACGGUGGAACGGCCAUUGAUACUGCUAGACUUGAAUUAUUAGGAAGUAACUAGAAUAUGUAGUGUAGCGGUGAAAUGCUUAGAGAUUACAUGGAAUACCAAUUGCGAAGGCAGGUUACUACUAAUAUAUUGACGCUGAUGGACGAAAGCGUGGGUAGCGAAC